CCUACGGGAGGCUGCAGUGGGGAAUAUUGGAUAAUGGGGGGAACCCUGAUCCAGCCAUGCCGCGUGUGUGAAGAAGGCCCUCGGGUUGUAAAGCACUUUCAGUGAGGAAGAACGCCUGGUGGUUAAUACCCAUCAGGAAAGACAUCACUCACAGAAGAAGCACCGGCUAACUCCGUGCCAGCAGCCGCGGUAAUACGGAGGGUGCGAGCGUUAAUCGGAAUUACUGGGCGUAAAGCGCGCGUAGGUGGCUUGAUAAGCCGGUUGUGAAAGCCCCGGGCUCAACCUGGGAACGGCAUCCGGAACUGUCAAGCUAGAGUGCAGGAGAGGAAGGUAGAAUUCCCGGUGUAGCGGUGAAAUGCGUAGAGAUCGGGAGGAAUACCAGUGGCGAAGGCGGCCUUCUGGACUGACACUGACACUGAGGUGCGAAAGCGUGGGUAGCAAACAGGAUUAGAUACCCUGGUAGUC
This 465-nucleotide ribosomal RNA is filed under the name Vreelandella stevensii. RNAcentral describes it as "partial 16S ribosomal RNA". It matches the Rfam family "Bacterial small subunit ribosomal RNA", at positions 338 to 795 of the family's 1533-position model. The record is from RNAcentral. Lineage: Bacteria; Pseudomonadati; Pseudomonadota; Gammaproteobacteria; Oceanospirillales; Halomonadaceae.